RNAcentral lists this ribosomal RNA (506 nucleotides) under uncultured bacterium. Its description in RNAcentral is "partial 16S ribosomal RNA". It matches the Rfam family "Bacterial small subunit ribosomal RNA", at positions 30 to 523 of the family's 1533-position model. The record is from RNAcentral.
AUUGAACGCUGGCGGCAGGCUUAACACAUGCAAGUCGAGCGGUAACAGAGAGAAGCUUGCUUCUCUGCUGACGAGCGGCGGACGGGUGAGUAAUGCCUAGGAAUCUGCCUAGUAGUGGGGGAUAACUUGCCGUAAGGUAAGCUAAUACCGCAUACGUCCUACGGGGGAAAGGAGGGGACCUUCGGGCCUUUCGCUAUUAGAUGAGCCUAGGUCGGAUUAGUUAGUUGGUGAGGUAAUGGCUCACCAAGACCGCGAUCCGUAACUGGUCUGAGAGGAUGAUCAGUCACACUGGAACUGAGACACGGUCCAGACUCCUACGGGAGGCAGCAGUGGGGAAUAUUGGACAAUGGGGGGAACCCUGAUCCAGCCAUGCCGCGUGUGUGAGGAAGGUCUUAGGAUUGUAAAGCACUUUAAGUUGGGAGGAAGAGCAGUUAACUAAUAUUUGACUGUUUUGACGUUACCGACAGAAUAAGCACCGGCUAACUUCGUGCCAGCAGCCGCCGCGG